RNAcentral lists this ribosomal RNA (699 nucleotides) under Triticum aestivum (bread wheat). RNAcentral's name for it is "partial small subunit ribosomal RNA". Lineage: Eukaryota; Viridiplantae; Streptophyta; Magnoliopsida; Poales; Poaceae. The record is from RNAcentral.
AUGGUGCAUUGGAUCUCUUGGGAGAAGAUGUGCGAUGCCAAGCGGGAUGGAGGCCUAGGGUUUCAAGACCCAGAAGCUUUCAACCAAGCUCUCUUGGCUAAACAGGCAUGGAGGAUUCUGCAGUGCCCAAUGUCAUUGUGUGCUCGAGUUCUCAAGGCAAGAUACUUCUCGGAUACGACAAUUAUGUCAGCCACUUGCCCAUCGGGAGGAUCGUUCACUUUCCAGAGUAUACUUCAUGGGCGCGAUCUGUUGAGAGAGGGCCUUGUGUGGCGAGUUGGCGAUGUAACUAGGAUCAAUAUACACCACGACAAUUGGAUUCUGAGAAGCGGAAGCAUGCGGCCACUAGGAGCUGUUUUUGUACAGGGGGUUACCAAGGUGGCCGAUCUCUUGGUGAGUGCUGGCGAUGCAUGGGACAACAAUAGAAUUGAUGACAUGUUCUCUCCGGUUGAUGCUUUUGACAUUAGGCAGAUUGCGGUAGGAGGGCCAGCGAUGGAGGACUGUCUUGCAUGGAAUUACACGAAGAAUGGGGUUCAUGGUGCGCUCGGCUUACCAUCUGAGGAUGACCAUGAACAAGUUGAAAACCGGACGGCCGGAAUCAGCAAGCAGUCAAUAAACAUCAAGGGUAGCUCGGCCUAUGGGAUACUAGCGCACCAAAUAAAGCCAAGAUUCAUAUGUGGAGAGUUAUUAGGAAUGGUUUAG